Molecule: transfer RNA, 75 nt
Filed under: Candidatus Omnitrophota bacterium
Lineage: Bacteria; Pseudomonadati; Candidatus Omnitrophota
Description: Candidatus Omnitrophica bacterium tRNA-Glu
Rfam family: tRNA
About the family: Transfer RNA (tRNA) molecules are approximately 80 nucleotides in length. Their secondary structure includes four short double-helical elements and three loops (D, anti-codon, and T loops).
Source: RNAcentral
GUCCCCAUCGUCUAGUCUGGUCUAGGACACAAGCUUUUCAAGCUUGUGACACCGGUUCAAAUCCGGUUGGGGACG